This 275-nucleotide long non-coding RNA is filed under the name Vulpes vulpes (red fox). RNAcentral describes it as "lncRNA (ENSVVUG00000012971.1)". Lineage: Eukaryota; Metazoa; Chordata; Mammalia; Carnivora; Canidae. The record is from RNAcentral.
GGAAUUUCCAGGAGAUCUUUCAGCAGCACAAGGCUUGGAAGCUAGAAAGAAUGCCAAGAAAGAGUCAGCUGUUUAGAAGCAAGAAAAUCUGUGCCCCUUAAUUGUGGAAACACAAGUUCAAAUCCCAGCUCUCCUGCUUGCCAGCUACAGGCUCAAGGGAGCCAUACCAGGCUGGAUUCACUUGUUCACAUUUCUAAUCUAACAGCAGAGGAAACUAGGACCCAGUUAGGACUUCUCUGCUGAAAGGAAGACUAAAUGAGUCAGUGGAGAGAGCU